AAUCAAUUUGCAAAUUACUCAGGAUACGUUAACAAGCCGAAUUUUUACUUUGUUCACUGCUUUUUGGACGAAGAGGAAUUAGAUUUGUGGAAGAAAUUUGAUACAACGAAAGAUUCCUACUGUGAACAAUGGUUCCAAGUCCUUUCUUGUUGCUUAUAAACGUCUGGCCUUUUAUAUAGCUGUCACACAGUCACAUUUCGAUACUUGCUAGCUGAAAUUUCGAUAUGACUACCGGCGUUUCCCUACUAAACCAGUAUGUUUUGCUAUUGCAAAAUGUCGUACAGGAAAACAGGCUUCUUGAUUAGAGAACAGGUGGCCAAUUAAUACAAUUACACCGAGUGAAAAUGCGCUGAAGAAUUAUUGAACAACGGCUCGGUCUAAUACUGGGAGACGAGUCAGGCACUCAGACAAGCGGGGCAAAUUAUACAGAGAAUGGCCAAGGCUUGCAGUGUAAGUAAAACGUUUAUUUUUACAGUGUACAUUUCCGUUUAGAAUUGUCAGACAAAUUAUGCUCAUUGCUUCCUACAGUAUAUGUGUAUGAAUAUAUGAACUUUGUCCAUUUGGCCGUUAUAAAAAUACAGUCCAUCCGAAAUAUUGGAGCCAAAUUUGAAAUCCUUUUCCAAAUCAAUGACAUCUACAUACUGUAAUUAUGGUCCAGUAUUUGCGUUUAAUUUAGCUAAAUAUAGUACAAUGGAAUUAGGAUGCACUUGUCAAUUACUUUUAUUAUUAUUAUUAGUUUAAUAAAAUCGUAUCGCAGUACAAUUUUAACUGAAUUACACGAUUAUAAAUAUAACAACUGAAUAAAAUAUAUACAUAGAGUCACAAUGUUAAAGUUAUGUCAGAGGUUGCCAAUUAUCUACAUUUAAAAAGCCUGUUAAAGGCAGUUACAACGAUAAAUUGUAAAUUUUUAAUAUAUCAUUCAAUACUUUGAUAUAUCAAUAAUUGUAAAUUUUUAAUUAUAUAUCAUUCAAUGUAAAUUUUUAGUAUAUCAAUACUUAACUAUUUGCCCGACCCCCUAAGACAGGCUGACCUGACUAAUCUUGUCUAAUCCCCCAACCCAAGGGGGGCCUAAUUUGAAAUUUUUAUUGAACAAAAUUCUUAUUUUCAAGAUAAAAGUAAUAUCAGGACAUUAAAAUCUAAUUGCAUAUGUAAAUUAAAUAGUAUGUGCGAUCAGGCAGCUAUUCUGUGAGAAAAUAAAUUCACAACUGAACAUGUACAGUAAAACUAUUUUGUCACUAUAAAGUGAAACAAACAGAAUAUAGAACUUCCAAAUGCGAACAAAAAAUGACCUGAUCCAGAGAUAAUUGACUUUAAGAAGACCAGGCACAGGCUCCACUCAACACGGCAAUCCUAGCCUGCAAGCGGGCUGUAUCCAUUCCCACAUAAUGCCCCACAUAGCAGGGUAGGGGAUCGAUAAGAGGAAAAUCCCCUGGCACCUAGUCAGGCAUAAGUGGGAAAACGCCCUACAUAACCCCACGUACCUUUCCCCAAGGUUGGGGGUGGGGGUUACAAUUGACAAGUGCAUUAGCCUUACUAUAUGCAAUACCUGCUUCCUAAAAUUUCUAGUAUUUGAUGCAUUCAAGUGCAUCAAUACUGUAUUGUACUAUUGUCUUCAUAGCUUAGUUGAUUGGACUUAGGGUUAGGCCUGUUUAUAUGGAAGCCGGAUUGGCCCGCUUAUAGCGAGACAGCAUGGUAUGCAGGAUGAAUUGCUCAUGUACUUAUACGAGAAAAUUUCAUCCUGCUUGCCAGGGCAAUUUUAUUAUUUUGAUAUAUUUUAUUGUUUUGACAGUAAGUUAAAAAUAGCUUGUGGCACUAUAUUCGAACUUUCAUCCUGGCAAACAGGCUAGGCCGCUCGUAAGUGUUUAUAUGGAAAAAUUUCUAUCCCGGUAAGCAAGAUCUUGUCCCUUUCGAGCAAGAUCUCAGCAACCAGGCAGCCUGUUUGUCCACAUGAAUGCACAAUAAUUUUUACUAUAAAAAUUAACUACACAGCAAGAUCUUGCCAACCGGGCUGUCUCGCAUAGCAGGCCAGCCCCAGCUUCCAUAUAAACAGACCUUUAGAUACUAUCUCACUAUAUUAUACAUAUAAUAUACAGAGCUAUAAUUCUAGCUUAUUAUAAAGUACUAGUACCCAAAAGCGGGGUUUUAACAGUGCUCUGCCUCUGCAGGGGGAAUACAAAUUUAUAACAAAUGUCAUCCUUUUGAUGCCCAUUUGAACACAUGACAUAAAGACCAACACACAUGUAUUUUCAUAGGAUUAAAUUUAACCUAGAAAGCUGAUUAUUUCGACCCAGCCAUCUGGUUAAUUUAACAAUUCAACAAAAUUUUUAGUACGCUGGAAUUUAACAGUUGUAAAUUUUCAAAUUCCCGCAUAUUCCUGAGUUCAAUGUUUUGAUUGACUAGUGCUUUACUUGGGGUUAAAGAAAACUGUAUGCUUUUGGAAUACAGACAAUAUACUUUUGGGUUUUCUCACUAAUUUACCCUUAGGUAAACGGACUUGACCCAAGUCUAAGAAUAACCUAACUAUUUAGUUUGUCAUUAUGUGCUUAUAAUUCCCUGUUUCUUUAAUGCCUUUUACUGUAGCCCGAAUCUCUGCAUAAUGUUCUACUGUUCAGUGGACUAGUCCAAGAGUUGUAUCAUGAAUCGGUGGACAGGAAAUUGUCCCUGGUCAGCUUUUAUUUGAAAAGGUAUAUGUUAGCCUGUUUAAUGAAUGUUA
Paramuricea clavata is the source of this 2713-nucleotide non-coding RNA. The record is from the annotation of a GenBank genome assembly. NCBI's taxonomy places the organism in Eukaryota, Metazoa, Cnidaria, Anthozoa, Malacalcyonacea, Plexauridae.